AUUGAACGCUGGCGGCAUGCCUUACACAUGCAAGUCGAACGGCAGCACGGGUGCUUGCACCUGGUGGCGAGUGGCGAACGGGUGAGUAAUACAUCGGAACGUACCUUAUCGUGGGGGAUAACGCAGCGAAAGCUGUGCUAAUACCGCAUACGCCCUGAGGGGGAAAGCGGGGGAUUGCAAGACCUCGCGCGAUUAGAGCGGCCGAUGCCUGAUUAGCUAGUUGGUGGGGGAAAAGCCCACCAAGGCGACGAUCAGUAGCUGGUCUGAGAGGACGAUCAGCCACACUGGGACUGAGACACGGCCCAGACUCCUACGGGAGGCAGCAGUGGGGAAUUUUGGACAAUGGGGGCAACCCUGAUCCAGCAAUGCCGCGUGAGUGAAGAAGGCCUUCGGGUUGUAAAGCUCUUUUGUCAGGGAAGAAACACCGGCUCUAACACAGUCCGGGAAUGACGGUACCUGAAGAAUAAGCACCGGCUAACUACGUGCCAGCAGCCGCGGUAA
RNAcentral lists this ribosomal RNA (501 nucleotides) under uncultured bacterium. RNAcentral's name for it is "partial 16S ribosomal RNA". It matches the Rfam family "Bacterial small subunit ribosomal RNA", at positions 29 to 523 of the family's 1533-position model. The record is from RNAcentral.